AUUCCAGCUCCAAUAGCGUAUAUUUAAGUUGUUGCAGUUAAAAAGCUCGUAGUUGGAUUUCGGGUGUCACUUGCCGGUCCACCGUUUCGGUGUGCACUGGCGGGCGUCAUCUUUCUGUCGAGGACGCGCUCCUGUCCUUUACUGGGGGGGACGCGGAGUCGGCGAGGUUACUUUGAAAAAAUUAGAGUGUUCAAAGCGGGCUUACGCUUGAAUAUAUUAGCAUGGAAUAACACUAUAGGACUCCUGUCCUAUUUUGUUGGUCUUCGGGACGGGAGUAAUGAUUAAGAGGAACAGUUGGGGGCAUUCGUAUUUCAUUGUCAGAGGUGAAAUUCUUGGAUUUAUGAAAGACGAACUUCUGCGAAAGCAUUUGCCAAGGAUGUUUUCAUCA
Molecule: ribosomal RNA, 388 nt
Filed under: Crustomastigaceae sp.
Lineage: Eukaryota; Viridiplantae; Chlorophyta; Mamiellophyceae; Dolichomastigales; Crustomastigaceae
Description: partial small subunit ribosomal RNA
Rfam family: Eukaryotic small subunit ribosomal RNA
Source: RNAcentral